Long non-coding RNA from Lucilia sericata (common green bottle fly), 1024 nucleotides. RefSeq lists it as uncharacterized. The transcript is spliced from 2 exons. Lineage: Eukaryota; Metazoa; Arthropoda; Insecta; Diptera; Calliphoridae. The record is from RefSeq and is a predicted model, not a curated record.
GUUAGUCAGAGAAAAACAAACUCAACCGGUUCCAGAAAUAUUUAGAGGUGUGUACAGAAAUAACUAACCAAGUUUAAAAAAAGUAACAUACUCCUGACAACCUUUUAUUCGGUGAGAAAAAACUAUAAAGAAAGAAAUUAUCCAAAAUGAUAAGUAAUGUCACAAGAAGAUGAAACAUCCACACCAAGUCCGACACUCAACGCUGAUAUUAAAAGGGGAUAAAACCAACCUCAAAUCCGAAUUCAGUGCCAACACACUAUCCGCAAAUUAAAUUCCAAACAAGUUAUUAUUGGAUGUCCAAUCCAUAUGCCCAAGUACAACACGCCGAUCAGUCGCUAAUAAGCCAAUAAAAACUCUACAUCAAAUCACCAAACAAUUUAUGUACUCACAGUUUUAAUAUAGUCAAGAAAGUCUAAAAGUAACCACACUGAAAGAAUAGUAAUCAACUGAUAUGUCAAAAACUAACAAUGCAGAAAAUAUAUGAAGGAAAAGGGAGACUUUAACAGCAACUACAUGAAAUCAAACCUCCUAAAAGACGAUUAGUAGUAAUCAAAACAAUAAGAGGACCAAUGCUACCUUAACAAAAUAUUCCCGCAAUUCAGAAUCAAACUACAGAACAAUUAACAUAAGAUAAUCAAUUAACAUAAGAUAAUAAGAUUGGUACUUAAAGAAUUUGGCAUUGGAAAAACUAAUAGAAACGAUUCACAGUAAUACACUGGGGACACAAGCUGUGAUUUCAUAAACUGCGUUUUGUAUUUAUUUUAAAAAUUUUUAAUUAUAAGUGAAAUUCUUAGAGUCUUGCACUAUCGUUAAAUACGUUCGGAUCAUCUUCCAAUCAACACGAAAAUAAACUUAAAAUACGAGGAAAUAAAAAAUGAGUACUAUAACUUUAAUAAAGCAAACUGGUCUCGCUUUAAUAAAUAUAUAAAUCGAAAUCUUCCCGAUAUUAGUACCAAUGAAAUAACUAACACCUCUCAGAUAGACUCAUUGUUAGAUCAGUUUAACUCAUGUAUAAAAAUGGCUA